RNAcentral lists this ribosomal RNA (336 nucleotides) under Ruminococcus flavefaciens. RNAcentral's name for it is "partial 16S ribosomal RNA". The record is from RNAcentral. Lineage: Bacteria; Bacillati; Bacillota; Clostridia; Eubacteriales; Oscillospiraceae.
GGAGUCUGGGCCGUGUCUCAGUCCCAAUGUGGCCGUUCAACCUCUCAGUCCGGCUACUGAUCGUCGACUUGGUGAGCCGUUACCUCACCAACUAUCUAAUCAGACGCGAGCCCAUCUCUGAGUGAUAAAUCUUUGAUACAUAUGUCAUGCGGCAUUUGUAUGUCAUAGGGUAUUACCAUCCGUUUCCAGAAGCUAUCCCCCUCUCAGAGGCAGGUUGCUCACGUGUUACUCACCCGUCCGCCACUAAGAAUUUCGAAUAAAUCCAAAAUUCUCCGUUCGACUUGCAUGUGUUAAGCGUGCCGCCAGCGUUCGUCCUCGAGCCACGGAUCAAACUCU